UCAAUAUGGCGUCCGAAAAAUUCCUAAGCUGCUCAGCUAAUUUUAUAUUGGAAAACACGCAAUUUGGUGAAUUUUUUCCGGACAAUUGGAAUCGUCAACGGUCAUUUUCGAGCGGAACACCUCCUGCCGGUUGAACGGUUGAUAUUUUCCCGGUCAUCCCGGUUUAUAUUCGGUUGGAAUCUCGAUUUUAAACAAGUAAUUAUUUUUUAGUAUUUGAAAAUAAAUUAUAUUUUUUAUA
Molecule: long non-coding RNA, 238 nt
Organism: Wyeomyia smithii (pitcher-plant mosquito)
Lineage: Eukaryota; Metazoa; Arthropoda; Insecta; Diptera; Culicidae
Exons: 2
Source: RefSeq, a predicted model, not a curated record